AAUCGAACUUGGAGAUAGCUGGUUCUCCUCGAAAUAGCUUUAGGGCUAGCCUCAAUUUAGUUUACAGGGGGUAGAGCACUGAAUACCGUAGGGGUGUUAGACAUUACCGAAAGUUAUCAAACUGCGAAUACCUGAUAAAUGAUGAUUGGGAGUCAGACUAUGUGGGAUAAGCUUCAUAGUCAAAAGGGAAAGAGCCCAGACCACCAGCUAAGGUCCCUAAAUAUAGAUUAAGUGGUAAAGGAUGUUUUACUACUUAGACAACCAGGAUGUUGGCUUAGAAGCAGCCAUACAUUUAAAGAGUGCGUAAUAGCUCACUGGUCAAGUGGUAGAGCGCCGAAAAUGAACGGGGCUAAAAUCUAAUACCGAAGCUGUGGACUAAUUUAAUUAGUGGUAGAGGAGCAUUGUGUAAGGGGCGAAGCUAAGUUGGAAGACGAAGUGGACUUUACAGAAGAGAGAAUGCUGGCAUGAGUAGCGAAAAGGAGGGUGAGAAUCCCUCCCGUCGAAAGCCUAAGGAUUCCUGAGGAAGGCUCGUCCUCUCAGGGUAAGUCGGGACCUAAGCCCAGGCUGAAAAGCGUAAGCGAUGGACAACAGGUUGAGAUUCCUGUACUAUCUUUGAAUGUUUGAGAGAUGUACUGACGCAGGAGGAUAUGUUGAGCGUGUGAAUGGUAGAGCACGUCUAAGCAAGUAGGUAGAGAAUAGAGGCAAAUCCCUAUUCUUAAUAUCGAGAUGCGAUGGGGAGCGAAAAAUAAGUAGUGAAGCAACAGAUUCCAAACUGCCAAGAAAAGGUACUAUUGAGUGAGAAGAUACCCGUACCAAAACCGACACAGGUAGGCAAGGAGAGAAUCCUAAGACGCGCGGAAGAACCUUUGUUAAGGAACUCGGCAAAAUGACCCCGUAACUUCGGGAGAAGGGGUACCAUUAGAUGUGAGAUACUUUCGUAUGGAGCAUAGAGUGGUCGCAGAGAAUAGGCCCAAGCAACUGUUUACCAAAAACACAAGUCUCUGCUAAAUCGAAAGAUGAAGUAUAGGGGCUGACACCUGCCCGGUGCUGGAAGGUUAAGGGGAAAUGUUAGAGCAAUCGAAGCAUAGAACUUAAGCCCCAGUAAACGGCGGCCGUAACUAUAACGGUCCUAAGGUAGCGAAAUUCCUUGUCGGGUAAGUUCCGACCCGCACGAAAGGUGUAAUGAUUUGGGCACUGUCUCAACAAAGGAUCCGGUGAAAUUGUAGUAGUCGUGAAGAUGCGACUUACCCACGAUAGGACGGAAAGACCCCGUGGAGCUUUACUGUAGGCUGGCAUUGGAAUUUGGUAUUAAAUGUACAGGAUAGGUGGGAGACUAAGAAGCGAGAGCGCCAGUUUUCGUGGAGUCAACGUUGGGAUACCACUCUUUUGAUACUAAAUUUCUAACUUGAUACUCUGAAUCGAGUAUAAGGACACUGUCAGUUGGGCAGUUUGACUGGGGCGGUCGCCUCCUAAAGAGUAACGGAGGCGUUCAAAGGUUCCCUCAGAAUGGAUGGAAAUCAUUCUAAGAGUGCAAAGGCAAAAGGGAGCUUAACUGCGACACCAACAAGUGGAGCAGAUAGGAAACUAGGACUUAGUGAUCCGGUGGUACCGAGUGGAAGGGCCAUCGCUCAACGGAUAAAAGCUACCCCGGGGAUAACAGGCUUAUCUCCCCCAAGAGUUCACAUCGACGGGGAGGUUUGGCACCUCGAUGUCGGCUCGUCUCAUCCUGGGGCUGGAGUAGGUCCCAAGGGUUGGGCUGUUCGCCCAUUAAAGAGGCACGCGAGCUGGGUUCAGAACGUCGUGAGACAGUUCGGUCCCUAUCCAUCGUGGGCGUAGGAAAUUUGAGAGGAGCUGUCCUUAGUACGAGAGGACCGGGAUGGACAGACCGCUGGUGUAUCAGUUAUCAUGCCAAUGGUAAUGCUGAAUAGCUAAGUCUGGAAGGGAUAAGUGCUGAAGGCAUCUAAGCACGAAGCCCCCCUCAAGAUGAGAUUUCCUGUUGC
RNAcentral lists this ribosomal RNA (2000 nucleotides) under human oral metagenome. Its description in RNAcentral is "bacterial LSU rRNA". It matches the Rfam family "Bacterial large subunit ribosomal RNA", at positions 831 to 2820 of the family's 2925-position model. The record is from RNAcentral.